CUACGGGGAGGCAGCAGUGGGGAAUCUUGCGCAAUGGGGGAAACCCUGACGCAGCGACGCCGCGUGGAGGAUGAAGGCCUUCGGGUUGUAAACUCCUUUUCUUAGGGAAAAUGAUGAUGGUACCUAAGGAAUAAGCCACGGCUAACUCUGUGCCAGCAGCCGCGGUAAGACAGAGGUGGCGAGCGUUGUUCGGAAUUACUGGGCUUAAAGGGCGCGUAGGUGGUAGGGUAAGUCCGGGGUGGAAUCCUAUGGCUUAACCAUAGAACUGCCUUGGAGACUGCUUUACUUGAGUCAGUAAGGGGAGGGCAGAAUUCCUGGUGUAGCGGUGAAAUGCGUAGAUAUCAGGAGGAAGGCCGGUGGCGAAGGCGGCCCUCUGGUACUGGACUGACGCUGAGGCGCGAAAGCGUGGGGAGCGAACAGGAUUAGAUACCCUGGUAGUCCACGCCCUAAACGGUGGGCACUAGGUGUAGGGCUCGUAAGGGUUCUGUGCCGAAGGGAAACCAUUAAGUGCCCGCCUGGGGAGUACGGCCGCAAGGUUGAAACUCAAAGGAAUUGACGG
RNAcentral lists this ribosomal RNA (559 nucleotides) under uncultured bacterium. RNAcentral's name for it is "bacterial SSU rRNA". It matches the Rfam family "Bacterial small subunit ribosomal RNA", at positions 339 to 916 of the family's 1533-position model. The record is from RNAcentral.